This 1299-nucleotide long non-coding RNA is filed under the name Equus asinus (donkey). RNAcentral describes it as "lncRNA (ENSEASG00005033309.1)". Lineage: Eukaryota; Metazoa; Chordata; Mammalia; Perissodactyla; Equidae. The record is from RNAcentral.
GGCAGUGAAGAAUGGGACGGGGCGGAAAGAACGCGGAGCGCGAAUGCUCAAGGCGGCUUGGAGAACCGAGCUUGGAAUCCCGGCGGGGUCAGGUUGGUUCUGUUUGCCGGGCGGUUGCCCCUUAGGAAAGCGAAGAGCGUGGCGUUGGGCUCCCCGCGUGCUGAGUCAGAGCUCCGCAGCCAGCUGGAAUCUGCCUCAGUUUCCUGGCCUGUAAAACGGGCUGAUCAGAUACUUUGCACCAUGCUCACCUUCGUGAUGAACAUUGAUUGGCAUUAGACUAAGAGCUGUGAGAGGCAGAAAAGGAAAAAACACAGGCCUUGACCUGUAGGACUUAAUAGCUACCUUAGAUAAUAAUUACUGUUUACUAGGCACUGUUGUCCGUCAAUCCUCAAACAAUCCUAAGAGAUAGGUACUGUUGUCAUCAUCUCUGUGUGACGGAUGAGGAAACUGAGGCACAACCAAAGUAAGAGGCAGGGUUUUGAAUCUGGGCCGCCGGGCUCGCGAAUUCAUGCUCUUCAUUGCACACCACAUCACCUAUUUAGUUUAGUGGGGGAUGGACGCAUAAAUAAAUAGAUACAGGGCACAAUGGUAGAUGCGCAAAGUACCACAGGAGCACAAGAGGCCCACUGCGCUCAGGAUUUGAGGAGGGGGCACCACGAGAGAGGCAUUUCCUGAAUGAGAUGGCACCUGGGCAGUGUCGGAAAGCACGAAGAGGAAUCAGCUGGGAACAGAAGGGAGGAAAGAAAACUGCAGCCAGAGAGGAGGGCAUGGAACAAGACUUCCAAGAAGAGAUUCCUACUCUUGCCAUGCUCCAUGGGGUGGGAACAAAAAACGUUCCUGUUUUACAAAGACACGAAGUUUGUUGGAUACUGAUAAAAAGUUUGAUGGAACUCCAAGUCACUUGAAAGGAGAGGCACUUUGGUGUAAGAGCUCCAUGCGUGCUGUGGACAGCAUUUCCAGCAGAACCCUAGGAAGCUGCUCUCUGAGACAGGUUGCAGGAUACUGUGGGCUUGUGUUUUCCCACGAGAACUUACAACAAGCAGUCAAAACCUCCCUUUUCUAAUAAAAGAAAAAUACACCUUUCUGAAUGAAUGCUUGAGGAAUGUCCUUUUCCUGCUGGCUCAGGUUUAGCCCCCAGCUGGCAUUUUUUUAAAACAGCGUACAGCCCUUGUGAGCCCACAUUCAACAUUUUUUGAUACAUUUGAUCCAUCCUUGGCUUCUACAGAAAAUAAGGAAGAUAAGCUUAGAGAGAGGUGGCUUAGUAUUGAAGAAAGGUUGACCCCCCUCCCAAUGCACAAA